Molecule: ribosomal RNA, 253 nt
Filed under: uncultured bacterium
Lineage: Bacteria
Description: partial 16S ribosomal RNA
Rfam family: Bacterial small subunit ribosomal RNA
Source: RNAcentral
UACGUAGGGUGCAAGCAUUGUCCGGAUUUAUUGGGCGUAAAGAGCUCGUAGGCGGUUUGUCGCGUCGGAUGUGAAACCUCGGGGCUCAACCCCGAGCCUGCAUUCGAUACGGACAGACUAGAGUGUUGCAGGGGAGACUGGAAUUCCUGGUGUAGCGGUGAAAUGCGCAGAUAUCAGGAGGAACACCGGUGGCGAAGGCGGGUCUCUGGGCAACAACUGACGCUGAGGAGCGAAAGCGUGGGGAGCGAACAGG